CAAUGACGUGACAGGCGGAUUCCACUUCUGAUCACAAAAGAAGAACUAGCUGUUUCAAGAGCUGUGAGAUAUUUUCCGGGACUGCUCAUUAGGUUAGUGGUUUGUGUACUUCCGCAUCUGGGACUAGGCUACGAGGAUCGCCACAUGUUGUCAUGAGCGGAGGCAAGAGUCACGUGACAAACGCGGAAAUAGAUUCAAAAACAAAAUUCACGACGUACAGUAAUCAGAUACUAAGUAGUCUGGUGUUCUCUCACGCGGAUUCAUGAACUAUGAUCAGACUUUCAUAACAAAUCAGAUUUAACAAAUAAAUUAUUUUGUUUUUUCUUAAAUGGUCUUGACUCUUUAUACCAGACUGUGUGAACGCGUUGAGUAAAUCUCUUCAUUAGACGAACCUGUUUUACUGGCAUUGAGAAUAAUGUUUAUUUAUGUAUUAAUUUUAAUUUUAAUACACAAAGAAGCUAACGUUUUUAAUAAUGGAGAUGGUGCUUUUUCACAGUAGUAAUAUUAGUGGUUUUUUGUCUUUAUUGACCUGAAAGUAUAAGAUGUAGAGUCCUUCUGAAGACAUGAGACCGGGUUUUAUACCUUUAACCACACAUCAAAUAAAUCCUGAACUUUCAACAUUUGGCAGGCGAAAGUGAAUUUGUUUUUAUAAUGUAAACAGACUUUCAGAUCUUCUGUCGUGAUUCUGCAGACAAGAGACAAGUAAAAUGACAUGAGGAACAAUUUAGGAAAAUUUGUUAAACCAAACUAGGCGUUGGACAAUUGAAGAAUUAUUAAUAAACCUAUUUAGGAUUUUUAUUUCUAUACUUAGUGGACAGGACAUGCUGAUAACGUCAUUCUCGCGAGGGCAAAUAAACACAGUGGGUCAGAAGCACAGAUAACAAGCAAAGCUGUUUCAUGCGCACGUACACACACACACACAUACACAGCCAUGAUCCUGGUGGGUCAGAGUCUGUGCAUUCCCUCUCCAUCCACUGUUCAGGAAUUGUUCUCCGUGGCUCGAGAUGCCAACAUCAUACCUGAUAUUUCCUUGGAUCCGGUCCUCACCACCUUCCUCUCGCUGGACUCCUCUGCAGCUCUGCAGCAUCAGUAUGCUUUCUUACAGCGGAGCAUGAGCAGCGAGCAGCAGGAUAAAUUCAGCUUCAAUCUGACUGAAGAGCUGGGAGGCAGCAGUGUCACCUAUGGAGGGGUCGGGGUUAUUGCUCUGGCUUUGUCUGUGCUGUUCGAUCAGGUCGCUCAACAGGUUCGGGCGCAAGGAUCAGCGCAGGUUUGGCUUUCAACCCACAGAUCCCAGCCUAAAAAGAUGUUUGGCAUCAGCACUUCCUCUAGAAUUGGGUGGAUCAUUAUGAGCUACCUCCAGGUAAUCCCUGGCAUUGCCAACGAUGAGGAGAAAAUGGCUGAGACCACAGAGCUCUAUGACCAGUGGCUGAAACUCGAGCUUCUUGACCAUUACGAGAGAAUGACCACGAAGAAGAGAAUGAGUUCGGUGGCCAUGCAGCAGUGGCUGGCCGGAGCUGCAAUUCAUCUGCACAUGAGAAUCCAUCAGGUCCGGUUGCAUUCAGUGCCACCAGGAUCUGUUGAGUCAUUGCGUCUCUCUUAUAAAAGCGGGUUAAAUCGGCUGGUUCAGGGCUACAAAGCCUAUCUACGCAAACACAUUAGGGAAACUGAAGCUCCAGGUCCAAAUAAGGCCAAGACCAGCACAGCCGGUGGACUAAUAAGACAAACAAACACAUCUAGGAUCAGCAAUCCCAUGAGCUACCACCCUUUUAACAUUAGCCUGCUUAGUUCUAAGAACUCAACUGAGAGAUAUAAUGAGACCCCUGCACCCAAUUCAGCUGCUGAAAUUUGUUGUAAAGGUUUGAUCAACAGAAACACACUCAACAAUUCAACGAGGAAUAGCACAGAGGAGGAAGCUGGGGCACUGGGUCUGUUAAUCAUUGAGCCAUGGAGCAAUGUGAGUCACAGUGUGCAGCAUCGUCCCUGUGAGUCUCCAGCCAUACAGCAAGCUCUGGUGGCCCGGAUUAUAAAUUCUCAGGACCUGGAUCAGAGCAGAAAGUUUUUCCUGUACCCUGAGAGAGUCUUCCACAGCCUGCUCAGACAGAGGGAUGACUUUGAGUUGAAAAGGAAUUAGACUGACAUGAAUAGUAUGCAAAUAAAUCUUUUUAAACUUUAUUUGUAUCGAUUUUU
This is a long non-coding RNA of Betta splendens (Siamese fighting fish), 2187 nucleotides long. Ensembl lists it as uncharacterized. Lineage: Eukaryota; Metazoa; Chordata; Actinopteri; Anabantiformes; Osphronemidae. The record is from Ensembl.